Molecule: ribosomal RNA, 547 nt
Filed under: Trichoderma harzianum
Lineage: Eukaryota; Fungi; Ascomycota; Sordariomycetes; Hypocreales; Hypocreaceae
Description: eukaryotic LSU rRNA
Rfam family: 5.8S ribosomal RNA (bases 179-332)
Source: RNAcentral
CAAUGUGAACGUUACCAAACUGUUGCCUCGGCGGGAUCUCUGCCCCGGGUGCGUCGCAGCCCCGGACCAAGGCGCCCGCCGGAGGACCAACCAAAACUCUUUUUGUAUACCCCCUCGCGGGUUUUUUAUAAUCUGAGCCUUCUCGGCGCCUCUCGUAGGCGUUUCGAAAAUGAAUCAAAACUUUCAACAACGGAUCUCUUGGUUCUGGCAUCGAUGAAGAACGCAGCGAAAUGCGAUAAGUAAUGUGAAUUGCAGAAUUCAGUGAAUCAUCGAAUCUUUGAACGCACAUUGCGCCCGCCAGUAUUCUGGCGGGCAUGCCUGUCCGAGCGUCAUUUCAACCCUCGAACCCCUCCGGGGGGUCGGCGUUGGGGAUCGGCCCUCCCUUAGCGGGUGGCCGUCUCCGAAAUACAGUGGCGGUCUCGCCGCAGCCUCUCCUGCGCAGUAGUUUGCACACUCGCAUCGGGAGCGCGGCGCGUCCACAGCCGUUAAACACCCAACUUCUGAAAUGUUGACCUCGGAUCAGGUAGGAAUACCCGCUGAACUUAAG